UGAGGAAUAUUGGUCAAUGGGCGCGAGCCUGAACCAGCCAAGUAGCGUGAAGGAUGACUGCCCUACGGGUUGUAAACUUCUUUUAUAAAGGAAUAAAGUGAGGCACGUGUGCCUUUUUGUAUGUACUUUAUGAAUAAGGAUCGGCUAACUCCGUGCCAGCAGCCGCGGUAAUACGGAGGAUCCGAGCGUUAUCCGGAUUUAUUGGGUUUAAAGGGAGCGUAGAUGGAUGUUUAAGUCAGUUGUGAAAGUUUGCGGCUCAACCGUAAAAUUGCAGUUGAUACUGGAUAUCUUGAGUGCAGUUGAGGCAGGCGGAAUUCGUGGUGUAGCGGUGAAAUGCUUAGAUAUCACGAAGAACUCCGAUUGCGAAGGCAGCUUACUAAACUGCCACUGACAUUGAUGCUCGAAAGUGUGGGUAUCAAACAGG
This 424-nucleotide ribosomal RNA is filed under the name uncultured bacterium. RNAcentral's name for it is "bacterial SSU rRNA". It matches the Rfam family "Bacterial small subunit ribosomal RNA", at positions 355 to 776 of the family's 1533-position model. The record is from RNAcentral.